CAGGUAAAUCGUUAACUCUCGGCGGCACAUUUUACAAUGGUUUGCCCUCUUACUUGGAACUGCCGGGUCUCCAAUGAAGCAUAAUCAAAGACAUCCAGCUACCGUAAAGCUGCAGAAACAGGAUGCCAAUUUUGCCACUCAUUCACAGAUUAAGAGCAUCAACUGACAAUUUCUGUUCAAGAAAAUUUGUACAAAAUUGACAUUUGUCACCCCAUAACCCUAGCUCUGGACUGGCUGACAACACCCCAAUGAUGCUGCUGAAGGUGGAGGCACACCUCUGGCCAUGGCAUACUUGGUUUGUGCAACACUUUAAA
Molecule: non-coding RNA, 314 nt
Organism: Pelobates cultripes (western spadefoot toad)
Lineage: Eukaryota; Metazoa; Chordata; Amphibia; Anura; Pelobatidae
Source: the annotation of a GenBank genome assembly